AGAGGCAAACCCUGGGAGGCAGGGCAGUGUUUCUUUUUCUGCACACCAAUGACUCAGCUGUGACAACUCCCUCCGGGGUAGCAGCAGCACAGUCCCACCCAGCCUGAGGGCUCACCUCUGCUGAUGGGCCAUCAUGGACUGAAUGGCCCCAGCACAAUGGGCAGCUGCAAGGACUGAGACCAUCAAGGCUCCCAAAAUAUCCCAUGACUCCCAGGAUGACAUCGUUCCAUUGUGAAACUGCCCGCCCUGGGGGAGGGGCUGAGCAUUCCCACCUGAACCUGAGCAUAUAAAAUCUGGGUUUGGGGCCUUCUGGCAACACUUAACAGAUCCAGGGCAGGAGCAGGACUCCAACAGGACUGUGACCACUGCUGUUGACAAGACUGCUCCCAUCACUUGGACAGGACUGUGUCCACCACUCCGACCAACAGGAUUUCCUACUCCCAAACCUUGGCCAGAUGGAGGAGGACGCUGUGAGGAAGAGGAAGAUGCCCCGGAACACCCAGGCAGACAAGGAGCUGAGGACAGAGCCCAGGGAGGACAAAUCCCCGCGGCAGAACCUGGUGGAAGAGGCCAUUUUGAGUAGCUCCACAUCGCAGGAAUCCAGCUGGGAGGAAAACCACCGGAGAUCCCACAGGAGGAGGGGCUGCAAACGCAGCCCAGGGAGCUGUGAGGAGGAAAGACCCACCCUGUGCCGGGAUGGCGGCCGGAGAUCCCGCCAGAGCUCAAACCUGGUGGUCCAUGAGCAGUG
This is a long non-coding RNA of Corvus hawaiiensis (hawaiian crow), 748 nucleotides long. RefSeq lists it as uncharacterized. The record is from RefSeq and is a predicted model, not a curated record. NCBI's taxonomy places the organism in Eukaryota, Metazoa, Chordata, Aves, Passeriformes, Corvidae. The transcript is spliced from 3 exons.